UACGGAGGGUGCAAGCGUUGUCCGGAAUCACUGGGCGUAAAGGGCUCGUAGGUGGCCAACUAAGUCGGACGUGAAAUCCCUCGGCUUAACCGGGGAACUGCGUCCGAUACUGGUUGGCUUGAGUUUGGGAGAGGGAUGCGGAAUUCCAGGUGUAGCGGUGAAAUGCGUAGAUAUCUGGAGGAACACCGGUGGCGAAGGCGGCAUCCUGGACCAAUACUGACGCUGAGGAGCGAAAGCCAGGGGAGCAAACGGG
Molecule: ribosomal RNA, 253 nt
Filed under: uncultured bacterium
Lineage: Bacteria
Description: partial 16S ribosomal RNA
Rfam family: Bacterial small subunit ribosomal RNA
Source: RNAcentral